CAUAUCAAUAAGCGGAGGAAAA
This 22-nucleotide small nuclear RNA is filed under the name Arabidopsis thaliana (thale cress). Its description in RNAcentral is "snRNA_03980". The record is from RNAcentral. Lineage: Eukaryota; Viridiplantae; Streptophyta; Magnoliopsida; Brassicales; Brassicaceae.